CCUACGGGAGGCAGCAGUAAGGAAUAUUGGACAAUGGGCGCAAGCCUGAUCCAGCCAUGCCGCGUGAAGGAUUAAGGUCCUCUGGAUUGUAAACUUCUUUUAUAGGGGACGAAAAAAGGGCAUUCUUGUUCACUUGACGGUACCCUAUGAAUAAGCACCGGCUAACUCCGUGCCAGCAGCCGCGGUAAUACGGAGGGUGCAAGCGUUAUCCGGAUUCACUGGGUUUAAAGGGUGCGUAGGCGGGCAGGUAAGUCAGUGGUGAAAUCCUAGAGCUUAACUCUAGAACUGCCAUUGAUACUAUCUGUCUUGAAUAUUGUGGAGGUAAGCGGAAUAUGUCAUGUAGCGGUGAAAUGCUUAGAUAUGACAUAGAACACCUAUUGCGAAGGCAGCUUACUACGCAUAUAUUGACGCUGAGGCACGAAAGCGUGGGGAUCAAACAGGAUUAGAUACCCUGGUAGUCCACGCCCUAAACGAUGGAUACUCGACAUACGCGAUACACUGUGUGUGUCUGAGCGAAAGCAUUAAGUAUCCCACCUGGGAAGUACGUCCGCAGGAUGAAACUCAAAUGAAUUGACGGCUUGGAGACGNGCCGACGGACGACACGAGGGGAGGUUAGG
Molecule: ribosomal RNA, 617 nt
Filed under: uncultured bacterium
Lineage: Bacteria
Description: bacterial SSU rRNA
Rfam family: Bacterial small subunit ribosomal RNA
Source: RNAcentral